Molecule: ribosomal RNA, 584 nt
Filed under: uncultured bacterium
Lineage: Bacteria
Description: bacterial SSU rRNA
Rfam family: Bacterial small subunit ribosomal RNA
Source: RNAcentral
UCCUACGGGAGGCAGCAGUAGGGAAUCUUCCGCAAUGGACGAAAGUCUGACGGAGCAACGCCGCGUGAGUGAUGAAGGCUUUCGGGUCGUAAAACUCUGUUGUUAGGGAAGAACAAGUGCUAGUUGAAUAAGCUGGCGCCUUGACGGUACCUAACCAGAAAGCCACGGCUAACUACGUGCCAGCAGCCGCGGUAAUACGUAGGUGGCAAGCGUUAUCCGGAAUUAUUGGGCGUAAAGCGCGCGCAGGUGGUUUCUUAAGUCUGAUGUGAAAGCCCACGGCUCAACCGUGGAGGGUCAUUGGAAACUGGGAGACUUGAGUGCAGAAGAGGAAAGUGGAAUUCCAUGUGUAGCGGUGAAAUGCGUAGAAAUAUGGAGGAACACCAGUGGCGAAGGCGACUUUCUGGUCUGUAACUGACACUGAGGCGCGAAAGCGUGGGGAGCAAACAGGAUUAGAUACCCUGGUAGUCCACGCCGUAAACGAUGAGUGCUAAGUGUUAGAGGGUUUCCGCCCUUUAGUGCUGAAGUUAACGCAUUAAGCACUCCGCCUGGGGAGUACGGCCGCAAGGCUGAAACUCAAAGGAAUU